UACGGGGGGGGCAAGCGUUGUUCGGAAUUACUGGGCGUAAAGUGUGCGCAGGCGGCCGCGCAAGUCGAGUGUGAAAGCCCCGGGCUUAACUUGGGAAUUGCGCUCGAAACUACGUGGCUGGAGUGUGGCAGAGGAAGGUGGAAUUCCAGGUGUAGCGGUGAAAUGCGUAGAGAUCUGGAGGAACACCGAUGGCGAAGGCAGCCUUCUGGGCCAACACUGACGCUCAUGCACGAAAGCGUGGGGAGCAAACCGG
Molecule: ribosomal RNA, 253 nt
Filed under: uncultured bacterium
Lineage: Bacteria
Description: partial 16S ribosomal RNA
Rfam family: Bacterial small subunit ribosomal RNA
Source: RNAcentral